CAACGCCGCCGCGCCGCACGCACGCCGCCGCUCGCGACGAUCGGAACUUGUGUGAUCGAAACUGUUGUGAAGAUGGUGUUGACUGACUUUUUGACGGAGACUCGGAGGAGGUGGUUGAAGGCUUUCAAGCUGUUCAAAAGAAGCAAAAGCCGCAAGAGCGCCCGCAACCGCAUCUCGCCGCUCGUCCGCUCACUGCCAUCAUACCCGGCACCGUCGACGCUCGCUCAGAGAUCCAC
This 236-nucleotide unclassified non-coding RNA is filed under the name Leguminivora glycinivorella. RNAcentral's name for it is "uncharacterized LOC125225662, transcript variant X1". Lineage: Eukaryota; Metazoa; Arthropoda; Insecta; Lepidoptera; Tortricidae. The record is from RNAcentral.